RNAcentral lists this long non-coding RNA (973 nucleotides) under Monodelphis domestica (gray short-tailed opossum). Its description in RNAcentral is "lncRNA (ENSMODG00000041353.1)". The record is from RNAcentral. Lineage: Eukaryota; Metazoa; Chordata; Mammalia; Didelphimorphia; Didelphidae.
GGGAUUGGGCCUAAGAAUAUAAAACCGGAUCUAACUCAGGGGUUGCUGCACUCCCUCUCACUCAUUCACUAGCUGCUCUUGAUACCAGAAUGAGUUGGGGCAUGUGGGGCAUCAGAAUGGCUGUGGUGCUGCUGAGUUUGGGACAGGCUCCGCUCUGCACCUUCCAGGUUCAAAAUAAUAUCACCUCGAUGCCAGAUUUCAAUAUCUCUCAGGCUAAGGGGACCUGGAAUUUCAUUAGCUUGGCAACAAGUGAGAAACUGUCAGACCAGGACAAGGAAGAGGUCAAAAUGUCUUUGGCAGUAUUUUCACCUUUUGCCAAUGGGAGUGUGAACCUUCAGACUACCUUCGCUUUGUCAGAAGGUAACUGUACAGAAGUAAAUACUUUAUAUACAAAAGAAGGAAACUCUGAACAAUAUCAAAGUGAUGAUGGAAACCCUUGCUACUUUCAAGUGAUAGAUACUGACUAUGAAAACUAUGGCAUUAUUUACAUAGGAAACAGAGAAAACAAGGAAGACUUUGAAGUUAAACUCUAUGGCAGGAAUAAAGUAGUAUCUGAUAAAGGCUUGAAGAAAUUCCAAGAAGUCAUAAAAUCCGUUGGAAUUCCAGGGGAGAAUGUGAUUACGCUAUCUGGAACAAUAGCCUGUAGUUAAAGAAAUCUGAAUGCAACAGAGGGAGCACAAUACAGACCCAUGUCCUCUUGUGUCUGGAAAAGGGUAGCUGCCAGAUGGCCUUCAACAUUCCCCUUUCCCAUCCAUGGGAAGAUGGUGUUCUCUUUGCUUCAAGGGCUGCAGCUUUCCAUGCUGGAUAUGAUUGGGAUGCCCCAACCUGUACCUUUGCUUAGGGGAUUUCUGAGUACUUGGGGUAUUGCUCAUCUGGAAUCCAAAGUAAUUGUUUUCCCUAUUCUUCAUUUAGCAAAUGCCUAACUAAGCUAGGUGAUUAAUAAAUUAAUAAAUACUAACUUGUUUUCUAAACA